Molecule: ribosomal RNA, 253 nt
Filed under: uncultured bacterium
Lineage: Bacteria
Description: partial 16S ribosomal RNA
Rfam family: Bacterial small subunit ribosomal RNA
Source: RNAcentral
UACGUAGGUGGCAAGCGUUAUCCGGAUUUAUUGGGCGUAAAGGGAACGCAGGCGGUCUUUUAAGUCUGAUGUGAAAGCCUUCGGCUUAACCGGAGUAGUGCAUUGGAAACUGGGAGACUUGAGUGAAGAAGAGGAGAGUGGAACUCCAUGUGUAGCGGUGAAAUGCGUAGAUAUAUGGAAGAACACCAGUGGCGAAAGCGGCUCUCUGGUCUGUAACUGACGCUGAGGUUCGAAAGCGUGGGUAGCAAACAGG